AAAACAUCUUUUCUUGAAAUUUAUUUGAGAUUUGACCUGCCCAAUGAAUAGUUUAAUGGCCGCGGUAUUUUGACCGUGCAAAGGUAGCAUAAUCAUUAGUCUAUUAAUUGUUGACUUGUAUGAAUGGUUAGACGAAAUAUUGACUGUCUCUAUUAAUUUAUUAUAAUUUAAAUUUUGAGUUAAAAUGCUUAAAUUUUUUUAAAGGACGAGAAGACCCUAUAGAUCUUUAUUAAUUGAUUUAUUUAUUUGUUUAGUUUAUUAUUUUUAGGUAGGUUUAUUGGUUUUGUUGGGGUGACAUGAAGAUAGAAUUAACUCUUUAUUAUUUUUUACAUUGAUUUUUGUUUGUUUGACCUUUUAUUAUUGUUAUAAGAUAAAGAUACCUUAGGGAUAACAGCGUAAUUCUUUUUGAGAGUUCAUAUCGACAAAGGAGAUUGCGACCUCGAUGUUGGAUUAAGGUUAUUAUUAGGUGUAGAUGCUUAUAUAUUAGGUCUGUUCGACCUU
This 501-nucleotide ribosomal RNA is filed under the name Heteropteryx dilatata (New Guinea walking stick). RNAcentral describes it as "partial 16S ribosomal RNA". It matches the Rfam family "Bacterial large subunit ribosomal RNA", at positions 1823 to 2588 of the family's 2925-position model. Lineage: Eukaryota; Metazoa; Arthropoda; Insecta; Phasmatodea; Heteropterygidae. The record is from RNAcentral.